GAAAAACCAGAAAAGAAAUGGGA
Molecule: ribosomal RNA, 23 nt
Filed under: Megalophaedusa hakonensis
Lineage: Eukaryota; Metazoa; Mollusca; Gastropoda; Stylommatophora; Clausiliidae
Also listed under: 2 other names
Description: Hemiphaedusa hakonensis partial 5.8S rRNA
Source: RNAcentral